Molecule: ribosomal RNA, 784 nt
Filed under: uncultured Alphaproteobacteria bacterium
Lineage: Bacteria; Pseudomonadati; Pseudomonadota; Alphaproteobacteria
Description: bacterial SSU rRNA
Rfam family: Bacterial small subunit ribosomal RNA
Source: RNAcentral
UAGCAAUACGUCAGCGGCGGACGGGUGCGUAACACGUGGGAACGUACCCUUUGGUUCGGAACAACUGAGGGAAACUUCAGCUAAUACCGGAUAAGCCCGAAAGGGGAAAGAUUUAUCGCCAAAGGAUCGGCCCGCGUUCGAUUAGCUUGUUGGCGGGGUAAUGGCCCACCAAGGCGACGAUCGAUAGCUGGUCUGAGAGGACGAUCAGCCACACUGGGACUGAGACACGGCCCAGACUCCUACGGGAGGCAGCAGUUGGGAAUCUUGGACAAUGGAGGAAACUCUGAUCCAGCCAUGCCGCGUGAGUGAUGAAGGCCUUCGGGUUGUAAAACUCUUUCGACGGGGACGAUAAUGACGGUACCCGUAGAAGAAGCUCCGGCUAACUUCGUGCCAGCAGCCGCGGUAAUACGAAGGGGGCUAGCGUUGUUCGGAAUUACUGGGCGUAAAGCGCGCGCAGGCGGCCGUUCAAGUCAGGGGUGAAAGCCCGGAGCUCAACUCCGGAAAUGCCUCUGAAACUGAUCGGCUCGAGUACGGUAGAGGUGAGUGGAAUUCCCAGUGUAGAGGUGAAAUUCGUAGAUAUUGGGAAGAACACCGGUGGCGAAGGCGGCUCACUGGACCGUUACUGACGCUCAGGCGCGACAGCGUGGGGAUCAAACAGGAUUAGAUACCCUGGUAGUCCACGCCGUAAACGAUGAACGCUAGCCGUUGGCGAGCUUGCUCGUCAGUGGCGCAGCUAACGCAUUAAGCGUUCCGCCUGGGGAGUACGGCCGCAAGGUUGAAACUC